UCUCCAGUGGCUGAGUGAAUCCCAGGGAGGCACCCACUGUGUUUGGGCUGCUGUCUCUAGCUCAGGUUUAUAACAUCCUCACGGCUUGGACCAUGACAACAAUGUACCAUGGAAAUAACCAAGGCCUCCUCCUCUUCCUUCUGCCCAGGAAUGUGACUUUCCAAAGACGCUCCACUGAUCUGUGCUGUGGUUAUGUUCCACGGUGCUGGGGCAAGUUCUCUGGGGUGGAAGGCAUCCUGAGUGGUUUUCCCAGCCUGAAACCAAACUUCCAGUCACAGGAGCUGUGAAUCUGAAGGAACUAGAUCAGCUAUCCUCCAAAAUGGAAACCAUGUUAAAGAAGCUGUUUUCCCACAUCCACUUACUUGAAGACUCGCUUUUGAUUCUGAGACCUCUGUAGCAUCUCCUGGCAAGGACUGCCAGAGCGAGACAGAAACAAGCAUCACAGCAAGCAUGGAGGACCCAGCUCUGUGACCAUCUUGUUUACACAAAUCGGGAUUUGCGGGGCACAGAUUAGCUAAAUGUUACUUCAAUCAAAGCUGCAAGCCCAGCCUCAGUUCUUCCUUUCUGAACCAGUGCAUCUACACAGAAUAAGGAGAGGGGAAGGAUGCGUCGCUUUGGC
Peromyscus maniculatus bairdii (prairie deer mouse) is the source of this 619-nucleotide non-coding RNA. The record is from RefSeq and is a predicted model, not a curated record. NCBI's taxonomy places the organism in Eukaryota, Metazoa, Chordata, Mammalia, Rodentia, Cricetidae.